ACACUGACGUCGCGACGCAUAUCAAUAAGCGGAGGAAAAGAAACUAACAAGGAUUCCCUUAGUAACGGCGAGUGAAGCGGGAAGAGCUCAAAUUUGAAAUCUUCAAGGUUCUACCUUGACGAAUUGUAGUUUAUAGAAGUGUUUUCUGUUAGUAGAGUGGCAAAAGUUCUUUGGAAUAGGACAUCAUAGAGGGUGAGAAUCCCGUAUUUGGUCAUUCUUUCUAGCUUUGUGAUACACUUUCAACGAGUCGGAUUGUUUGGGAAUGCAGUCCAAAAUGGGUGGUAAAUUUCAUCUAAAGCUAAAUAUUGGCGAGAGACCGAUAGCGAACAAGUACCGUGAGGGAAAGAUGAAAAGAACUUUGAAAAGAGAGUUAAACAGUACGUGAAAUUGUCAAAAGGGAAGCGUUUGACACCAGUGUUGUUUUUCUGAAAAUCAAUUAAAGAACUGUUUAUGCUAAGUUGUUUAGACUUUAUCAGCUAACUGUUUAGUUUUGAGCUUUUCUUUAAUGCACUUUUCAGUUAACAAGUCAACAUCAAUUUCUUUUGCUGUAAAAAAGCUUGAGGAAGGUGGCUUGAGAUUCGUCUUAAGUGUUUAUAGCCUCUUGCCUAUGCAGUCGGAGAGAUUGAGGUCUGCAGCGUAGAUCCUUCGGGGCUAAAUGCAUUUGUGCUAAGUUAUAGCAUUUUAUAGACAACUUGUUGACUAUGAUUUGUCUUGUAGCUUACUCGCUUAUGUUAUUUUACCUACGCUUAGGAUGUUGAUGUGAUACUGCGAGC
This 773-nucleotide ribosomal RNA is filed under the name uncultured Neocallimastigales. RNAcentral's name for it is "partial large subunit ribosomal RNA". It matches the Rfam family "Eukaryotic large subunit ribosomal RNA", at positions 25 to 645 of the family's 3401-position model. Lineage: Eukaryota; Fungi; Neocallimastigomycota; Neocallimastigomycetes; Neocallimastigales. The record is from RNAcentral.